This 98-nucleotide non-coding RNA is filed under the name Aneurinibacillus migulanus. Its description in RNAcentral is "SAM-I sequence". It matches the Rfam family "SAM riboswitch aptamer (S box leader)". From Rfam's summary of the family: The SAM riboswitch is found upstream of a number of genes which code for proteins involved in methionine or cysteine biosynthesis in Gram-positive bacteria. The SAM riboswitch acts at the level of transcription termination control. Lineage: Bacteria; Bacillati; Bacillota; Bacilli; Caryophanales; Paenibacillaceae. The record is from Rfam by way of RNAcentral.
UUCUUAUCUAGAGAGACGGAGGGGCUGGCCCAAUGAAGUCUCGGCAACCUAAUUCGGUUAGGUGCCAAUUCCAGAGAGCGGAGGCUCGAAGAUGAGUA